Molecule: ribosomal RNA, 253 nt
Filed under: uncultured bacterium
Lineage: Bacteria
Description: partial 16S ribosomal RNA
Rfam family: Bacterial small subunit ribosomal RNA
Source: RNAcentral
UACAGAGACUGCAAGCGUUAUUCGGAUUCACUGGGUUUAAAGGGUGCGUAGGAGGGCAGGUAAGUCAGUGGUGAAAUCUCCAAGCUUAACUUGGAAACUGCCGUUGAUACUAUCUGUCUUGAAUACCGUGGAGGUGAGCGGAAUAUGUCAUGUAGCGGUGAAAUGCUUAGAUAUGACAUAGAACACCAAUUGCGAAGGCAGCUCGCUACACGAAUAUUGACUCUGAGGCACGAAAGCGUGGGGAUCAAACAGG